RNAcentral lists this ribosomal RNA (798 nucleotides) under Aspergillus flavipes. RNAcentral describes it as "bacterial SSU rRNA". The stretch from base 1 to 571 matches the Rfam family "Eukaryotic small subunit ribosomal RNA", at positions 1227 to 1831 of the family's 1831-position model. The record is from RNAcentral. Lineage: Eukaryota; Fungi; Ascomycota; Eurotiomycetes; Eurotiales; Aspergillaceae.
GACUCCAAAUAUGAUUGACAGAUUGAGAGCUCUUUCUUGAUCUUUUGGAUGGUGGUGCAUGGCCGUUCUUAGUUGGUGGAGUGAUUUGUCUGCUUAAUUGCGAUAACGAACGAGACCUCGGCCCUUAAAUAGCCCGGUCCGCAUUUGCGGGCCGCUGGCUUCUUAGGGGGACUAUCGGCUCAAGCCGAUGGAAGUGCGCGGCAAUAACAGGUCUGUGAUGCCCUUAGAUGUUCUGGGCCGCACGCGCGCUACACUGACAGGGCCAGCGAGUACAUCACCUUGGCCGAGAGGCCUGGGUAAUCUUGUUAAACCCUGUCGUGCUGGGGAUAGAGCAUUGCAAUUAUUGCUCUUCAACGAGGAAUGCCUAGUAGGCACGAGUCAUCAGCUCGUGCCGAUUACGUCCCUGCCCUUUGUACACACCGCCCGUCGCUACUACCGAUUGAAUGGCUCGGUGAGGCCUCCGGACUGGCUCAAGAGGGUUGGCAUCCACCCCCCAUAGCCGGAAAGCUGGUCAAACCCGAGCAGGGAAAUGCGAAAACUAAUGUGAAUUGAAGAAUGCAGUGAAUCAUCGAGUCUUUGAACGCACAUUGCGCCCCAUGGUAUUCCGGGGGGCAUGCCUGUCCGAGCGUCAUUUCUCCCCUCCAGCCCCGCUGAUAGUUGGGCCGCUCCCCCCCGGGGGCGGGCCUCGAGAGAAACGGCGGCACCGUCCGGUCCUCGAGCGUAUGGGGCUCUGUCACCCGCUUUAUGGGCCCGGCCGGGGCUUGCCUCGACCCCCAAUUUUCUCAAGAAUUGAACCCA